Long non-coding RNA from Oncorhynchus tshawytscha (Chinook salmon), 834 nucleotides. The record is from Ensembl. NCBI's taxonomy places the organism in Eukaryota, Metazoa, Chordata, Actinopteri, Salmoniformes, Salmonidae.
CCCUUAACCAACAGUGCAGUUCAAGAAGAAGAAAAUAUUUACCAAGGAGACUAAAAUACAAAGUUAUAAUAAAAAGUAACACAAUAAGAACAACAAUAAUGAGGUUAAAUACAGGGGGAACCGGUACCGAGCCAGUGUGGAGGUUAUAUACAGGGGGUACCGGUACAGAGUCAAUGUGGAGGUUAUAUACAGGGGGUACUGGUACAGAGUCAAUGUGGAGGCUAUAUACAGGGGGUACUGGUACAGAGUCAAUGUGGAGGCUAUAUACAGGGGGUCCUGGUACAGAGUCAAUGUGGAGGCUAUAUACAGGGGGUACCGGUACAGAGUCAGUGUGGAGGUUAUAUACAGGGGGUACCGGUACAGAGUCAAUGUGGAGGCUAUAUACAGGGGGUCCUGGUACAGAGUCAAUGUGGAGGCUAUAUACAGGGGGUACCGGUACAGAGUCAAUGUGGAGGCUAUAUACAGGGGGUCCUGGUACAGAGUCAAUGUGGAGGCUAUAUACAGGGGGUACCGGUACAGAGUCAAUGUGGAGGCUAUAUACAGGGGUCCUGGUACAGAGUCAAUGUGGAGGCUAUAUACAGGGGUCCUGGUACAGAGUCAAUGUGGAGGCUAUAUACAGGGGGUACCGGUACAGAGUCAAUGUGGAGGCUAUAUACAGGGGGUACUGGUACAGAGUCAAUGUGGAGGCUAUAUACAGGGGUACUGGUACAGAGUCAAUGUGGAGGCUAUAUACAGGGGUACCGGUACAGAGUCAAUGUGGAGGCUAUAUACAGGGGGUACCGGUACAGAGUCAAUGUGGAGGCUAUAUACAGGGGUCCUGGUACAGAGUCAAUG